GUGUAGAAAUGAAGGUUUUACUUCAACUGAUUAAUUCACUGGUCUUUUUUUUUUAAUAUAAGAAAUAUCAAAGCUGACGUCCUGGCCUGUUUCUAGCUCUAUACUAGUUGUUCUGCAUCCUAGAUGUUACGCUAUCCAGAAGAACUUCUCGAAAUGAACAGUGAAAAACAUCAAUGAAUACAUACUAUAAGCAAGCCACAGAGACUACGGUGCUGCUGGAGCUGGCGAUUGCUGUCAGAAGAGAGGCCACUGCUGCAGGGGAAGAUGAGAAGCCUUGCCACCCUGAGGAGUGGGACAGGCAGCGGCAGGAGGACUACAUGUACCUAUGUACUAUGAUUCCCUAAACAUUGCUGACAAAGCUGGAUCCACUCAUUACUUGUAUUCCUCUUGUAAUAAAUCCCAUCUUCUCUCUUUUAGUGAAA
Corvus hawaiiensis (hawaiian crow) is the source of this 422-nucleotide long non-coding RNA. RefSeq lists it as uncharacterized. NCBI's taxonomy places the organism in Eukaryota, Metazoa, Chordata, Aves, Passeriformes, Corvidae. The transcript is spliced from 2 exons. The record is from RefSeq and is a predicted model, not a curated record.